UACGAAGGGGGCUAGCGUUGCUCGGAAUCACUGGGCGUAAAGCGCACGUAGGCGGCUUGUUAAGUCAGGGGUGAAAUCCUGGAGCUCAACUCCAGAACUGCCUUUGAUACUGGCGAGCUUGAGUCCGGGAGAGGUGAGUGGAACUACGAGUGUAGAGGUGAAAUUCGUAGAUAUUCGCAAGAACACCAGUGGCGAAGGCGGCUCACUGGCCCGAUACUGACGCUGAGGUGCGAAAGCGUGGGGAGCAAACAGG
Molecule: ribosomal RNA, 253 nt
Filed under: uncultured bacterium
Lineage: Bacteria
Description: partial 16S ribosomal RNA
Rfam family: Bacterial small subunit ribosomal RNA
Source: RNAcentral